ACAGCCCUCGGGCUUGUACAUCUGUCAAUUUUAACAAUACAGAGACGAUUAGCAUUGUCCUUGCAUAAAGAUGACACGCUUUUCAAAGAGAUUUACCUGUUUUUU
Molecule: small nuclear RNA, 105 nt
Filed under: Babjeviella inositovora NRRL Y-12698
Lineage: Eukaryota; Fungi; Ascomycota; Pichiomycetes; Serinales
Source: RNAcentral